GCUCAGACGGUAAAGUGUCUGCCUGCAAUGCAGGAGACCCAGGUUUGAUCCCUGG
Molecule: transfer RNA, 55 nt
Filed under: Bos taurus (domestic cattle)
Lineage: Eukaryota; Metazoa; Chordata; Mammalia; Artiodactyla; Bovidae
Also listed under: 3 other names
Rfam family: tRNA
About the family: Transfer RNA (tRNA) molecules are approximately 80 nucleotides in length. Their secondary structure includes four short double-helical elements and three loops (D, anti-codon, and T loops). Further hydrogen bonds mediate the characteristic L-shaped molecular structure. tRNAs have two regions of fundamental functional importance: the anti-codon, which is responsible for specific mRNA codon recognition, and the 3' end, to which the tRNAs corresponding amino acid is attached (by aminoacyl-tRNA synthetases). tRNAs cope with the degeneracy of the genetic code in two manners: having more than one tRNA (with a specific anti-codon) for a particular amino acid; and 'wobble' base-pairing, i.e. permitting non-standard base-pairing at the 3rd anti-codon position.
Source: Rfam by way of RNAcentral